RNAcentral lists this ribosomal RNA (233 nucleotides) under uncultured Actinomycetales bacterium. Its description in RNAcentral is "partial 16S ribosomal RNA". It matches the Rfam family "Bacterial small subunit ribosomal RNA", at positions 97 to 334 of the family's 1533-position model. The record is from RNAcentral. Lineage: Bacteria; Bacillati; Actinomycetota; Actinomycetes; Actinomycetales.
AGCGAACGGGUGAGUAACACGUGGGUGAUCUGCCCUGCACUUCGGGAUAAGCCUGGGAAACUGGGUCUAAUACCGGAUAGGACGAUGGUUUGGAUGCCAUUGUGGAAAGUUUUUCGGUGUGGGAUGAGCUCGCGGCCUAUCAGCUUGUUGGUGGGGUAAUGGCCUACCAAGGCGUCGACGGGUAGCCGGCCUGAGAGGGUGUACGGCCACAUUGGGACUGAGACACGGCCCAG